Molecule: long non-coding RNA, 715 nt
Filed under: Fukomys damarensis (Damara mole-rat)
Lineage: Eukaryota; Metazoa; Chordata; Mammalia; Rodentia; Bathyergidae
Description: lncRNA (ENSFDAG00000024354.1)
Source: RNAcentral
AGAGGCACUCUUGUGGGCCUAGAAUGUGGCUCCAACACAGGCACCUAUGCUUCAGAGACCAGGAAGGAAGAGAGCUACGAUGCAGCCAAGGAAACAGUAACACGAGGAGCAGAUCGUUUAGCAGGAACAAAAUGCGUCUGCAACCCCUGGCUCAUAUUUAGCUCAGCUGCCAUCCAUCACUCACAGACGAAAGCUCGAAAAGCAUCAAGUCCACACCGAAAGGAGGAAAAUGAAGCGAACGCGAAUUCCUGCAAUGAAAACCACCUGCCCUCAGCUUAGAUUUUAGCUCACUGUGACUCAGGGGCUGGCUCUGGCACCCAGGCACAAGAACUCCAGAAGUUUGGACGAGACUUUGGGUAUCUGAGGAGGAAAUACCUGGCCCAACUUGUCACCAUUCAAGAGGAAACCAGAGAGAGAUUCUAAUAAUAAAAGAUGGUAUCCUGGGUGAGGGUGAGACUGUUUGUAAGCAUACGUCCUGUGUAGACCGUGCUUGCAGCUGUGUGUCGGUGGUGGCUUCUUGUAUCGUGGGCGCUCCCUCGGGAUAGCUGAGAAGCGUUAGGGUUCCAAGUAGGCUGAUAAUGGAAUUCACCCGCCAUCAAACACAACCAGGAGAGAGGGGAAAAAAAAAGUAGGAACAAAAUCAACUAAACAAGAAUAAAAGAAAGAAAUCUCAUCGAUGAUGGGUCUGUUGAGAGGCUUCUUAGCAAGAAGGCAG